Molecule: non-coding RNA, 47 nt
Organism: Danio rerio (zebrafish)
Lineage: Eukaryota; Metazoa; Chordata; Actinopteri; Cypriniformes; Danionidae
Source: Rfam
CCAAAGGCUCUUUUAAGAGCCACCUCAGUCUAUCAUACGAAGGAGAU